UUUCCGUAGGUGAACCUGCGGAAGGAUCAUUAAAGAACGCCCCGUUCUUUGAAAUGGGUAAUUCUAAACCGUGUAUACAUACCUUUGUUGCUUUGGCAGGCCGCCCCUCAGGGCGUCGGCUCCGGCUGACUGCGCCUGCCAGAGGACCCAAACUCUGUUGUUUAGUGAUGUCUGAGUACUAUAUAAUAGUUCAAACUUUCAACAACGGAUCUCUUGGUUCUG
This 222-nucleotide unclassified non-coding RNA is filed under the name plant metagenome. RNAcentral's name for it is "partial contains small subunit ribosomal RNA, internal transcribed spacer 1, and 5.8S ribosomal RNA". The record is from RNAcentral.